RNAcentral lists this transfer RNA (76 nucleotides) under Lentisphaera profundi. Its description in RNAcentral is "tRNA-Glu". It matches the Rfam family "tRNA". From Rfam's summary of the family: Transfer RNA (tRNA) molecules are approximately 80 nucleotides in length. Their secondary structure includes four short double-helical elements and three loops (D, anti-codon, and T loops). Lineage: Bacteria; Pseudomonadati; Lentisphaerota; Lentisphaeria; Lentisphaerales; Lentisphaeraceae. The record is from RNAcentral.
GUCCCUAUCGUCCAGAGGCCUAGGACACCGGGUUUUCAUCCCGGCGACACGGGUUCGAAUCCCGUUAGGGAUGCCA